Molecule: ribosomal RNA, 248 nt
Filed under: uncultured bacterium
Lineage: Bacteria
Description: partial 16S ribosomal RNA
Rfam family: Bacterial small subunit ribosomal RNA
Source: RNAcentral
UUGCUGGCGACCGGCGCACGGGUGAGUAACACGUAUCCAACCUGCCGAUAACUCGGGGAUAGCCUUUCGAAAGAAAGAUUAAUACCCGAUGGCAUAAUUAGACCGCAUGGUCUUAUUAUUAAAGAAUUUCGGUUAUCGAUGGGGAUGCGUUCCAUUAGGCAGUUGGUGAGGUAACGGCUCACCAAACCUUCGAUGGAUAGGGGUUCUGAGAGGAAGGUCCCCCACAUUGGAACUGGGACACGGUCCAA